Molecule: ribosomal RNA, 240 nt
Filed under: uncultured bacterium
Lineage: Bacteria
Description: partial 16S ribosomal RNA
Rfam family: Bacterial small subunit ribosomal RNA
Source: RNAcentral
AGCGGCGGACGGGUGAGUAACGCGUGGGUAACCUACCUCAUACAGGGGGAUAACAGUUGGAAACGGCUGCUAAUACCGCAUAAGCGCACAGUACCGCAUGGUACCGUGUGAAAAACUCCGGUGGUAUGAGAUGGACCCGCGUCUGAUUAGCUAGUUGGUGGGGUAACGGCCUACCAAGGCGACGAUCAGUAGCCGACCUGAGAGGGUGACCGGCCACAUUGGGACUGAGACACGGCCCAA